GAUGAACGCUGGCGGCGUGCUUAACACAUGCAAGUCGAACGAUGAAGCCCAGCUUGCUGGGUGGAUUAGUGGCGAACGGGUGAGUAACACGUGAGUAACCUGCCCUUAACUCUGGGAUAAGCCUGGGAAACUGGGUCUAAUACCGGAUAGGAGCGUCCACCGCAUGGUGGGUGUUGGAAAGAUUUAUCGGUGUUGGAUGGACUCGCGGCCUAUCAGCUUGUUGGUGAGGUAAUGGCUCACCAAGGCGACGACGGGUAGCCGGCCUGAGAGGGUGACCGGCCACACUGGGACUGAGACACGGCCCAGACUCCUACGGGAGGCAGCAGUGGGGAAUAUUGCACAAUGGGCGCAAGCCUGAUGCAGCGACGCCGCGUGAGGGAUGACGGCCUUCGGGUUGUAAACCUCUUUCAGUAGGGAAGAAGCGAAAGUGACGGUACCUGCAGAAGAAGCACCGGCUAACUACGUG
Molecule: ribosomal RNA, 466 nt
Filed under: uncultured bacterium
Lineage: Bacteria
Description: partial 16S ribosomal RNA
Rfam family: Bacterial small subunit ribosomal RNA
Source: RNAcentral